Eriocheir sinensis (Chinese mitten crab) is the source of this 2689-nucleotide long non-coding RNA. RefSeq lists it as uncharacterized. The record is from RefSeq and is a predicted model, not a curated record. The transcript has 3 exons. NCBI's taxonomy places the organism in Eukaryota, Metazoa, Arthropoda, Malacostraca, Decapoda, Varunidae.
GCAAAAUUAUGUCAAGCGAUGUCAAGGAGUCAGCCCAAAUUUAGUCAAGAACUCAAAUUUAGUCAAGAAACAGUCAAAUUUGUUCAAGAAAAGCAAAAUUAGUCAAGCGAAGUCAAGGAGUCAACCCACAUUUAGUCAAGAAAGGUCAAAUUUGCUCAAGAAAAGUCAAAUUUAGUCAAGCGAGAAAUAUGCGAAGUCAAAUUUAGUCAAGUCAAAAUUGUCAAGCGAAGUCAAGAAAUCAACCCUCAAGGCAAGACCGGGCAAGCCAAAACGCCCCAACCCCUUCCUUUGCCUCCCCGCCCUCACACCUCUCCUCUACCUGUCCAAUGAAAGUCGAGCCGGCAGGUGAGGGGCUCCUAUGGUCACCUGGAGAAGAGGAAGGAAGGAAGAAUGGGAGGAAGAAGAUUGAGAGGAAGGAAAGAAGGAAGAAAGAAUGGAAGGAAGGAAGGAAGUAUGGGAGAGGAAAGAAGGAUUAGAGGAAGGAAGGAAGAAGAUUGAGAGGAUGGAAGGAAGGAAGAAAGAAUGGAAGGAAGGAAGUAUGGGAGAGGAAGGAAGGAAGAAGAUUGAGAGAAAGGGAAGAGCAAGGAAGGAUAAAAGGAGGAGAAUGAGAGAAAGAAAGAGAAUUGGAAGAAGAGAGAACAAUGUAAGGAAGGAAGGAAGAGAGGAGAAUGGGAGAGGAAGGAAGAGAGAAGAAUGGGAAGGAGAGAAUGAAAGAAGAAUAGGAAGGAUAGAAGGAAGGAGACAAGAGAGAAGAAUGAGAGAGGAAGGAAUGAAGGAGUGAAGGAAGGAAAGAUACCCUACACUGUUUGUCUCGAGAAGGAAAAGAAAGAAUGAAAAUAAGGUUGCAAUGUGUUUAUGAAGUUUGAGAAGGAAGAAAUAAAUGAAGGAAGGAAGGAAUGAAAGCAAGUGCCAGAUAAAUUUAGAAAGAAAGAAAGAAAGAAGGAAGGAGAGGAAAGGAAGUUAAAAAGUGCCGGAUAAAGAGAGAAAAUGUAAACAAAGAGGAGAAAUAGAAGGGUUGAAAUAAGAAAGAAAGGAGAUGAAAGAAAAAGAAAGGAUUAAACGAAAUAGAGAAAGUGUAAAAAAAAGGAGAAAUAGAAGGUUUGAAAUAAGAAAGAAAGGAGAUGAAAAUAAAGGAAAAGAAUGGAUGAAAAGAAAGAAAGUUAAAAGCAGAGAAAAAGGUAGUGAAAGAAGAUGAAAAUAAAGGAAAAGAACGGAUUGAACGAAAGAGAGAAAAUGUAAAAAAGUAGAGAAAUGGAAGGUUUGAAAUUAGAAAGAAAGGAGGUGAAAGGAAAGGAUGAAAAGAAAGUAGAGAAAAAGGUUUAAAAUCAGACAAAAUAAGAUGAAAAAAAAAGAACGGAAUAAACGAGAUCAGAAAAAGCUGUAAAAAGGAAGAGAAGUUUUAAAAUAAGAAAAAAAAGAAUUAAAAGAAAGAAGAAAGUUUAAUUUAGACCAGAAAAGCUUUAAUCAACAAGGAAAGGAAUUGGUUUAAAAAGUAAGGAAGAUUUUGAAAAACAGCAGAAACGCGACGUAAACGAAAACAACAGUGAUGGUACAAGAUUGGAACGCGUACGAAACAGAGUGAAAGUGAGAUUUAAACUUACAAUGAGGGUUUUUAAGGGUAAGAAAAGAGGUUUAAGCAAUGAGAAAGAGGUUAAAGUUACAAAGAGGGUUUUAAGGGUAAGAUAAAGGGUUUGGACAGCAAGAUAUAGAUUUGAACACCACGGGGAGAGGUUUGAGAAGUAAGAAAGAGGUUUAAGAAAGUAAGAAAGAGGUUUUAGAAAGUAAGAAAGAUAUUUGAAUUGUAAAGAAAAGGGGUUGAAGAGUAAGUAAGGGGGUUUCAAGUGAGGGAAAGGUUUAAACACUAAGAAAGAAGGUUUUAUCAAGUUACGAAGAGUGUUGACUAGCAAGAAGGGUUUAAGAAAGUAAGAAAGAUAUUUGAAUUGUAAAGAAAAGGGUUUGAAGGGUAAGUAAGGGGGUUUUAAGCGAGGGAAAGGUUUAAACACUAAGAAAGAAUGUUUUAUGAAGUUACGAAGAGUGUUGACAAGCAAGAAAAGAGGUGAAACAAGUUAACAAAUGGUUUAGCUCUAAGAAAAGGGAUUUAAACCAGUUAGAAAAGAAUUAAACGGUAAGGAAGAGGUAUUUGAACUUACGAAGAGGUUUAACAAGCAAGAAGGGAUUGAAACUAGUUAAUAUAGAGGAUUUAGCACUAAGAAAAGGGAUUUAAACCAGUUAGAAAAGAAUUAAACGGUAAGGAAGAGGUAUUUGAACUUACGAAGAGGUUUAACAAGCAAGAAGGGAUUGAAACUAGUUAAUAUAGAUGAUUUAGCACUAAGAAAAGGGAUUUAAACCAGUUAGAAAAGAAUUAAAUGGUAAGGAAGAGGUAUUUGAACUUACGAAGAGCGUUAACUAGGAAGGAAACAAACAAACAAGGUAAAAAAAAAAAAAGAAAAGGUCAAAUCAUUAAAGAGCUGAAACGAGGUAAAAAACAAACAAAGAAAUAAGGUCAAAUCAGUAAAGAGCUGAAACGAGGUAAAAAACAAACAAAGAAAUAAGGUCAAAUCAUAGAGCUGAAACAAGGUAAAAAAUAAACAAAGAAAUAAGGUCAAAUCAUAGAGCUGAAACGAGGUAAAAAAUAAACAAAGAAAUAAGGUCAAAUCAUAGAGCUGAAACGAGGUAAAAAAUAAACAAA